RNAcentral lists this ribosomal RNA (327 nucleotides) under uncultured eukaryote. RNAcentral's name for it is "partial 18S ribosomal RNA". It matches the Rfam family "Eukaryotic small subunit ribosomal RNA", at positions 1470 to 1796 of the family's 1831-position model. The record is from RNAcentral.
CCCUUAGAUGUUCUGGGCCGCACGCGCGCUACACUGACGAAUGCAACGAGCUUAUAACCUUGGCCGAAAGGUCUGGGUAAUCUCCAAAUUUCGUCGUGAUGGGGAUAGAUUAUUGCAAUUAUUAAUCUUCAACGAGGAAUGCCUAGUAAGCGCAAGUCAUCAGCUUGUGUUGAUUACGUCCCUGCCCUUUGUACACACCGCCCGUCGCUCCUACCGAUUGAAUGGUCCGGUGAAGCGCUCGGACCGCGGCCUCUUGACGGUUUUCCGUCGAUUGGCUGUGGGAAGUUCGUUAAACCUUAUCAUUUAGAGGAAGGAGAAGUCGUAACA